GUGACUCAGACGUCCAAUGGGCACGCUGCAUUCGGGGGCUAUAUAGUUAGCGGAGGCAGCGUGCCAGGUCUUUCUGUGUGUGACUAUCUCUGCAGAUAAAACAUGUCUGACCCGGUACUUGGUACUAUGCACGCUCUCUAUGGCAUUUCAAAGGACCCUCCAUGAUCAGGGCAAAAAUAUUUGGUGUGAACACAUCAAUCUCAUAGACGCAUCUCUGCAUGGAGAUAUCUGGAAGGAAGACUGGAGUGUAAAUGCAACACCAUCUCUGCAUGGCGAUAUAGCUGGAAGACCGUGCUAAAACAUGUCUGACCAGAGACCUGGUACUUUGUACAAUGCAGCCUCUGCAUUACAAGGACCCUCCAUGAUCAGGGCAAAGAUUUGGUGUAAAUGCAUCAAUCUCAUAGACGAAUCUCUGCAUGGUGCGUUCUGGAAGACUGUAGUGUAAAUGCAACAUCCAUCUUGUAAACCAUUUCUGCAUGGCGCUAUACCUGGAAGACCGUGAUAAAACAUGUCUGACCAAAGACCUGGUACUUGGUACUAUACACCCUCUGCAUUACAGGGACCCUCCAUGAUCAGGGCAAAAAUAUUUGGUGUAAACGCAUCAAUCUCUGCAUGGUGAGAUCUGGAAGACUUCGUGUAACUGCAACAUCCAUCUCGCAAACCAUCUCUGCAUUGCAAUAUCUGGAAGACCGUGAUAAAACAUGUCUGACCAAAGACAUGGUACAUUGCAAUACAACAGAAGAUGCAUAGUACUAGGACCCUCCAUGAUCAGGGCAAAAAUAUUUGGAAAUUCAUCAAUCUCAUAGACCAUCUCUGCAUGGUGAUAUCUGGAAGACCGUGCUGGUCGUGGUUUGUAAAGAGGAGUUGAUUGGAGUCUGAUAUUAUGGAACUGAUUGCCGGAGCUAGAGACACAACGAAAGACUGUUAACCAGCUAAUCGCCUUGCUACUCCAAAGGCAGCCAUGUUAUAGGUGAACCUGGUUUGCUGGUCAGUUAAAUGGAACAAGUUGGCAAUGGAGGCUCUGCUCCAGCUGAGAAUUUUUUUUUUUUUUGUGGUCAUUUCAAUAAACAACUUUGGCAUUACAAGCA
This is a long non-coding RNA of Rana temporaria (common frog), 1088 nucleotides long. RefSeq lists it as uncharacterized. The transcript has 11 exons. Lineage: Eukaryota; Metazoa; Chordata; Amphibia; Anura; Ranidae. The record is from RefSeq and is a predicted model, not a curated record.